AGCGCAUACGGUGGAUGCCUUGGCAGUCAGAGGCGAUGAAAGACGUGGUAGCCUGCGAAAAGCUUCGGGGAGUCGGCAAACAGACUGUGAUCCGGAGAUGUCUGAAUGGGGGAACCCAGCCAUCAUAAGAUGGUUAUCUUGUACUGAAUACAUAGGUGCAAGAGGCGAACCAGGGGAACUGAAACAUCUAAGUACCCUGAGGAAAAGAAAUCAACCGAGAUUCCCUUAGUAGUGGCGAGCGAACGGGGACCAGCCCUUAAGUUGUAUUGAGAUUAGCGGAACGUUCUGGAAAGGACGGCCAUAGUGGGUGAUAGCCCUGUACGCGAAAAUCCCUUUGCAAUGAAAUCGAGUAGGACGGGGCACGAGAAACCUUGUCUGAAUAUGGGGGGACCAUCCUCCAAGGCUAAAUACUACUGACUGACCGAUAGUGAACCAGUACCGUGAGGGAAAGGCGAAAAGAACCGCGGAGAGCGGAGUGAAAUAGAUCCUGAAACCGUAUGCGUACAAGCAGUGGGAGCCCACUUUGUUGGGUGACUGCGUACCUUUUGUAUAAUGGGUCAGCGACUUAUUUUCAGUGGCGAGCUUAACCGAAUAGGGGAGGCGUAGCGAAAGCGAGUCUUAAUAGGGCGUCUAGUCGCUGGGAAUAGACCCGAAACCGGGCGAUCUAUCCAUGGGCAGGUUGAAGGUUGGGUAACACUAACUGGAGGACCGAACCGACUACCGUUGAAAAGUUAGCGGAUGACCUGUGGAUCGGAGUGAAAGGCUAAUCAAGCUCGGAGAUAGCUGGUUCUCCUCGAAAGCUAUUUAGGUAGCGCCUCAUGUAUCACUGUAGGGGGUAGAGCACUGUUUCGGCUAGGGGGUCAUCCCGACUUACCAAACCGAUGCAAACUCCGAAUACCUACAAGUGCCGAGCAUGGGAGACACACGGCGGGUGCUAACGUCCGUCGUGAAAAGGGAAACAACCCAGACCGUCAGCUAAGGUCCCAAAGUCAUGGUUAAGUGGGAAACGAUGUGGGAAGGCUUAGACAGCUAGGAGGUUGGCUUAGAAGCAGCCACCCUUUAAAGAAAGCGUAAUAGCUCACUAGUCGAGUCGGCCUGCGCGGAAGAUGUAACGGGGCUCAAACCAUGCACCGAAGCUACGGGUAUCAUCUUAGGAUGAUGCGGUAGAGGAGCGUUCUGUAAGCCUGUGAAGGUGAGUUGAGAAGCUUGCUGGAGGUAUCAGAAGUGCGAAUGCUGACAUGAGUAACGACAAUGGGUGUGAAAAACACCCACGCCGAAAGACCAAGGUUUCCUGCGCAACGUUAAUCGACGCAGGGUUAGUCGGUCCCUAAGGCGAGGCUGAAAAGCGUAGUCGAUGGAAAACAGGUUAAUAUUCCUGUACUUCUGGUUAUUGCGAUGGAGGGACGGAGAAGGCUAGGCCAGCCUGGCGUUGGUUGUCCAGGUUUAAGGUGGUAGGCUGAGAUCUUAGGUAAAUCCGGGAUCUCAAGGCCGAGAGCUGAUGACGAGUGUUCUUUAGAACACGAAGUGGUUGAUGCCAUGCUUCCAAGAAAAGCUUCUAAGCUUCAGGUAACCAGGAACCGUACCCCAAACCGACACAGGUGGUUGGGUAGAGAAUACCAAGGCGCUUGAGAGAACUCGGGUGAAGGAACUAGGCAAAAUGGCACCGUAACUUCGGGAGAAGGUGCGCCGGUGAGGGUGAAGCAUUUACUGCGUAAGCCCACGCCGGUCGAAGAUACCAGGCCGCUGCGACUGUUUAUUAAAAACACAGCACUCUGCAAACACGAAAGUGGACGUAUAGGGUGUGACGCCUGCCCGGUGCCGGAAGGUUAAUUGAUGGGGUUAGCGCAAGCGAAGCUCUUGAUCGAAGCCCCGGUAAACGGCGGCCGUAACUAUAACGGUCCUAAGGUAGCGAAAUUCCUUGUCGGGUAAGUUCCGACCUGCACGAAUGGCGUAACGAUGGCGGCGCUGUCUCCACCCGAGACUCAGUGAAAUUGAAAUCGCUGUGAAGAUGCAGUGUAUCCGCGGCUAGACGGAAAGACCCCGUGAACCUUUACUAUAGCUUUGCACUGGACUUUGAAUUUGCUUGUGUAGGAUAGGUGGGAGGCUUUGAAGCGUGGACGCCAGUCUGCGUGGAGCCAACCUUGAAAUACCACCCUGGCAACUUUGAGGUUCUAACUCAGGUCCGUUAUCCGGAUCGAGGACAGUGUAUGGUGGGUAGUUUGACUGGGGCGGUCUCCUCCUAAAGAGUAACGGAGGAGUACGAAGGUGCGCUCAGACCGGUCGGAAAUCGGUCGUAGAGUAUAAAGGCAAAAGCGCGCUUGACUGCGAGACAGACACGUCGAGCAGGUACGAAAGUAGGUCUUAGUGAUCCGGUGGUUCUGUAUGGAAGGGCCAUCGCUCAACGGAUAAAAGGUACUCCGGGGAUAACAGGCUGAUACCGCCCAAGAGUUCAUAUCGACGGCGGUGUUUGGCACCUCGAUGUCGGCUCAUCACAUCCUGGGGCUGAAGCCGGUCCCAAGGGUAUGGCUGUUCGCCAUUUAAAGUGGUACGCGAGCUGGGUUUAGAACGUCGUGAGACAGUUCGGUCCCUAUCUGCCGUGGACGUUUGAGAUUUGAGAGGGGCUGCUCCUAGUACGAGAGGACCGGAGUGGACGAACCUCUGGUGUUCCGGUUGUCACGCCAGUGGCAUUGCCGGGUAGCUAUGUUCGGAAAAGAUAACCGCUGAAAGCAUCUAAGCGGGAAACUUGCCUCAAGAUGAGAUCUCACUGGAACCUUGAGUUCCCUAGAGGGCCGUCGAAGACUACGACGUUGAUAGGUUGGGUGUGUAAGCGCUGUGAGGCGUUGAGCUAACCAAUACUAAUUGCCCGUGAGGCUUGACC
This 2878-nucleotide ribosomal RNA is filed under the name Pseudomonas savastanoi. RNAcentral describes it as "bacterial LSU rRNA". It matches the Rfam family "Bacterial large subunit ribosomal RNA". The record is from RNAcentral. Lineage: Bacteria; Pseudomonadati; Pseudomonadota; Gammaproteobacteria; Pseudomonadales; Pseudomonadaceae.